UACGGAGGAUGCAAGCGUUAUCCGGAAUUACUGGGCGUAAAGGGUUCGUAGGUGGCCAACUAAGUCAGACGUGAAAUCCCUCAGCUUAACUGGGGAACUGCGUCUGAUACUGGUUGGCUUGAGUGCAGGAGAGGAAUGCGGAAUUCCAGGUGUAGCGGUGAAAUGCGUAGAUAUCUGGAGGAACACCGGUGGCGAAGGCGGCGUUCUGGACUGCAACUGACACUGAGGAACGAAAGCCAGGGGAGCAAACGGG
This 253-nucleotide ribosomal RNA is filed under the name uncultured bacterium. Its description in RNAcentral is "partial 16S ribosomal RNA". It matches the Rfam family "Bacterial small subunit ribosomal RNA", at positions 524 to 776 of the family's 1533-position model. The record is from RNAcentral.